Molecule: transfer RNA, 58 nt
Filed under: Wrightia tinctoria
Lineage: Eukaryota; Viridiplantae; Streptophyta; Magnoliopsida; Gentianales; Apocynaceae
Description: partial tRNA-Phe
Source: RNAcentral
CAGGAGACAGCAGCUGGUAGAGCAGAGGACUGAAAAUCCUCGUGUCACAGUUUCAAAU